This 290-nucleotide ribosomal RNA is filed under the name Paraburkholderia tropica. RNAcentral's name for it is "partial 16S ribosomal RNA". It matches the Rfam family "Bacterial small subunit ribosomal RNA", at positions 45 to 334 of the family's 1533-position model. The record is from RNAcentral. Lineage: Bacteria; Pseudomonadati; Pseudomonadota; Betaproteobacteria; Burkholderiales; Burkholderiaceae.
AUGCCUUACACAUGCAAGUCGAACGGCAGCACGGGUGCUUGCACCUGGUGGCGAGUGGCGAACGGGUGAGUAAUACAUCGGAACGUGUCCUGUAGUGGGGGAUAGCCCGGCGAAAGCCGGAUUAAUACCGCAUACGAUCUACGGAUGAAAGCGGGGGAUCUUCGGACCUCGCGCUAUAGGGGCGGCCGAUGGCGGAUUAGCUAGUUGGUGAGGUAAAGGCUCACCAAGGCGACGAUCCGUAGCUGGUCUGAGAGGACGACCAGCCACACUGGGACUGAGACACGGCCCAG